This 274-nucleotide ribosomal RNA is filed under the name uncultured bacterium. Its description in RNAcentral is "partial 16S ribosomal RNA". It matches the Rfam family "Bacterial small subunit ribosomal RNA", at positions 523 to 796 of the family's 1533-position model. The record is from RNAcentral.
AUACGUAGGCAGCGAGCGUUGUUCGGAGUUACUGGGCGUAAAGCGUGCGUAGGCGGUUCCGCAAGUUCGGUGUGAAAUAUCCCGGCUCAACUGGGAGGGUGCGCCGAAAACUGCGGAGCUUGAGCGUGGGAGAGAGAAGCGGAAUUCCUGGUGUAGCGGUGAAAUGCGUAGAUAUCAGGAGGAACACCGGUGGUGUAGACGGCUUCCUGGACCACUGCUGACGCUGAGGCACGAAAGCGUGGGUAGCAAACAGGAUUAGAAACCCUUGUAGUCC